UACGUAGGGUGCAAGCGUUGUCCGGAAUCACUGGGCGUAAAGGGAGUCUAGGCGGUUUGGUAAGUGGGAUGUGAAAUGCCCGGGCUCACCCCGGGACCUGCAUCCCAAACUGCCGUGCUCGAGUGUGGGAGAGGUGAGUGGAAUUCCCGGUGUAGCGGUGAAAUGCGUAGAUAUCAGGAGGAACACCGGUGGUGUAGACGGCUUUCUGGACCGUAACUGACGCUGAGACACGAAAGCGUGGGUAGCAAACAGG
RNAcentral lists this ribosomal RNA (253 nucleotides) under uncultured bacterium. RNAcentral describes it as "partial 16S ribosomal RNA". It matches the Rfam family "Bacterial small subunit ribosomal RNA", at positions 524 to 776 of the family's 1533-position model. The record is from RNAcentral.